Molecule: ribosomal RNA, 484 nt
Filed under: uncultured bacterium
Lineage: Bacteria
Description: partial 16S ribosomal RNA
Rfam family: Bacterial small subunit ribosomal RNA
Source: RNAcentral
AUUGAACGCUGGCGGCAGGCCUAACACAUGCAAGUCGAGCGGAUGAAGGGAGCUUGCUCCUGGAUUCAGCGGCGGACGGGUGAGUAAUGCCUAGGAAUCUGCCUGGUAGUGGGGGAUAACGUCCGGAAACGGGCGCUAAUACCGCAUACGUCCUGAGGGAGAAAGUGGGGGAUCUUCGGACCUCACGCUAUCAGAUGAGCCUAGGUCGGAUUAGCUAGUUGGUGGGGUAAAGGCCUACCAAGGCGACGAUCCGUAACUGGUCUGAGAGGAUGAUCAGUCACAAUGGAACUGAGACACGGUCCAGACUCCUACGGGAGGCAGCAGUGGGGAAUAUUGGACAAUGGGCGAAAGCCUGAUCCAGCCAUGCCGCGUGUGUGAAGAAGGUCUUCGGAUUGUAAAGCCCUUUUAGUUGGGAGGAAGGGCAGUAAGUUAAUACCUUGCUGUUUUGACGUUACCAACAGAAUAAGCACCGGCUAACUUCGUG